AUUGAACGCUGGCGGCAUGCUUUACACAUGCAAGUCGAACGGUAACAGGCCGCAAGGUGCUGACGAGUGGCGAACGGGUGAGUAACGCAUCGGAACGUGCCCAGUCGUGGGGGAUAACGCAGCGAAAGCUGUGCUAAUACCGCAUACGAUCUAUGGAUGAAAGCGGGGGACCGUAAGGCCUCGUGCGAUUGGAGCGGCCGAUGUCAGAUUAGGUAGUUGGUGGGGUAAAGGCUCACCAAGCCAACGAUCUGUAGCUGGUCUGAGAGGACGACCAGCCACACUGGGACUGAGACACGGCCCAGACUCCUACGGGAGGCAGCAGUGGGGAAUUUUGGACAAUGGGCGCAAGCCUGAUCCAGCAAUGCCGCGUGCAGGAAGAAGGCCUUCGGGUUGUAAACUGCUUUUGUACGGAACGAAAAGGUUUGGGUUAAUACCCUGGGCCGAUGACGGUACCGUAAGAAUAAGCACCGGCUAACUACGUGCCAGCAGCCGCCGUAA
Molecule: ribosomal RNA, 498 nt
Filed under: uncultured bacterium
Lineage: Bacteria
Description: partial 16S ribosomal RNA
Rfam family: Bacterial small subunit ribosomal RNA
Source: RNAcentral